Cyanistes caeruleus (blue tit) is the source of this 579-nucleotide non-coding RNA. The record is from RefSeq and is a predicted model, not a curated record. NCBI's taxonomy places the organism in Eukaryota, Metazoa, Chordata, Aves, Passeriformes, Paridae.
UCAGUUUGCAUAGUCAUUCUCCAUUCUUCAGUGAUGAGAGAAUAUACCUGAACUGUUCCUACACAGUCUAGAGGCUUCCCCAUUACACACCCAAAACCUCUCCUCUUCCUCUUUGGCUGGGUGGUGCAAACUUGGCCUCAGCAAAGCAUCCACUACUUUCACAAGUGGCCAAUUGUUUGAGUCAUUAACCAUUGUGAUUUCAGUCUCUCACAGAGUGCUAUUACCUGAAGGUGGGAACGUAUAGUCUUCUUUCUUGUCCCUUCAGCCCCCUGCAUUGCUCAUGAUCCAGCCCUUAAGCUCUAACUGCAGUUAACCCUGGGAUAUUUCAGAGGCUCACAACAAGCUUUCAACCAAGCAACUUGACCUCAACUGAUCUCCAGGAUAAAUGUGGCUGACAAAUUCAUGUGAAGAAUUUAAAGGAGAAGCAAAUUCUGCAGUGCAACUGUUGACCCAAUUCCUAUUCCUGCCUGUGUGUACUGGAAAAAUACUGUGAGAAAUUCCACUAGGCUGGGAUAGACAGAGACAAGGACAAGAACUGCAAGAUGAGAGAGAGUAUCUAUAAAGGAAAACUGUAUUGCC